Long non-coding RNA from Cynara cardunculus var. scolymus (artichoke), 728 nucleotides. RefSeq lists it as uncharacterized. Lineage: Eukaryota; Viridiplantae; Streptophyta; Magnoliopsida; Asterales; Asteraceae. The record is from RefSeq and is a predicted model, not a curated record. The transcript has 6 exons.
CACAAAACUAUGUAAUCGAAGGUAAAAUCAUGUUUGGCGACUUUGCAAGGCCUUUCUGCCUCAGUGGUUUCCCCUGUUGCGUUUCUCUCCCUCUCCAUCCCCUCUGGUCUUUGAAAUUCUCUGAUUAGAGUUACAUGUCCUCGCCAUGGAUGACACCAACACCGAUCAGGAAGUCUUCGAGAGACUGCUCAAGGUUUCAUUUUCAAAGAUUAUUCCAAGUCUGAGAUUUAAACUGCUCAAGAAAAUCAAGAAUUCUUCAACGUUGAGAGAGAUACCUGUAGUUACUAUGUCUUCUGAGAACAUCCUAACACACAUAGUCAGGUAACUUUACCGCUUGGAACAAUUAUCACUAUGCAGAUCAUAGAGGCUGGUGAUUAUCAUGCCAGUUUCUGGACACUAAGCAAUCUCCGAUCAAGAUGAUGUCAAUUGACUUCGACUGGAAAACGGGCCUGUCAGCAAAACGUUGGUCUAAAAGGGACAGAUUGAAGUUCUUCAAUUCAUUGUCUAAAUUUAAUCGUUCUUCAAGAUACCAACAGUUUUUUCAACUUCAACCUUUUCCACAUCCAUGGAGCUCAGAAACCAAACAGAAGUUAUGUAUGUUGCUGCUUGGAGCACUGCAGGAAGGAAUGAUUGAAGUAUUGUUUAAUUUUUCUAAACUGUAUUUUACAUUUAUUUAUUUAAAUGCUCCAUUCUUAUCACUGGGAAAUAGUGACAGUGACAGUUAUUCA